GAUGAACGCUGGCGGCGUGCCUAAUACAUGCAAGUCGAGCGAACGGACGAGAAGCUUGCUUCUCUGAUGUUAGCGGCGGACGGGUGAGUAACACGUGGAUAACCUACCUAUAAGACUGGGAUAACUUCGGGAAACCGGAGCUAAUACCGGAUAAUAUUUUGAACCGCAUGGUUCAAAAGUGAAAGACGGUCUUGCUGUCACUUAUAGAUGGAUCCGCGCUGCAUUAGCUAGUUGGUAAGGUAACGGCUUACCAAGGCAACGAUGCAUAGCCGACCUGAGAGGGGGUACGGCCCCCCGGAAAGUGAGCCCCGGCCCGGGGCCCGAGGGGAGGCACAGGAGGGGAACCUUCGCAAAGGGGCGAAAGCUUGACGGAGAAACGCCGGGGGGGUGAUGAAGGGCUGCGGGCGGGAAAACCUUUUUUUUGGGGAAAAAAAAUUUUGAAAGUAACGGUGCCAAUUUGACGGGAACCAAAAAAGAAACCCCGGCUAAAUCCGUG
This 496-nucleotide ribosomal RNA is filed under the name uncultured bacterium. RNAcentral describes it as "partial 16S ribosomal RNA". It matches the Rfam family "Bacterial small subunit ribosomal RNA", at positions 28 to 507 of the family's 1533-position model. The record is from RNAcentral.